RNAcentral lists this ribosomal RNA (591 nucleotides) under Polypedates leucomystax (Java whipping frog). Its description in RNAcentral is "partial 16S ribosomal RNA". The stretch from base 144 to 591 matches the Rfam family "Bacterial large subunit ribosomal RNA", at positions 566 to 1209 of the family's 2925-position model. The record is from RNAcentral. Lineage: Eukaryota; Metazoa; Chordata; Amphibia; Anura; Rhacophoridae.
AAAUUUAGCCCUAAAUUAUUUUAUAAAUUUCUCCUCCUCAAAUUUAUUAAAUAAAACAUUUUAACUCCUUAAGUAAAGGCGAUUGAAAAAGCUCUAAGCGCUAUAGAAAUAGCACCGCAGGGGAAAAAUGAAAGAAUAAUGAAACAAUUAAAGCUACUUACAGCAAAGAAUUUACCUCGUACCUUUUGCAUCAGGGCCUAACAAGACUUAAUAAGCAAAAUGAAAUUUAAGUUUUAAACCCCGAACCUAGGCGAGCUACUUUAAAACAGCCUAUUGGGCUAACCCGUCUCUGUAGCAAUAGAGUGGGGUGAUUUUUGAGUAGAAGUGAAAAGCCUACCGAGCCUAGAAAUAGCUGGUUAUUCAUGAAAAGAAUAUAAGUUCUGCCUUAAGCACCCCCAAUGAACCUCAACAACAUUCAACGCUUAAGAGUUAUUUAAAUAAGGAACAGCUUAUUUAAGCCAGGACACAACCUAAACAGUAGGGUAAAAUCUUAACACUACCAAGUGGGCCUGAAAGCAGCCACCUUUUAAAACGCGUCAAAGCGUAACCUUAACCCCCAAAAUACCAUUAAUUUUCAUGAACCCCUAAUUU